This 450-nucleotide ribosomal RNA is filed under the name uncultured bacterium. Its description in RNAcentral is "partial 16S ribosomal RNA". It matches the Rfam family "Bacterial small subunit ribosomal RNA", at positions 28 to 507 of the family's 1533-position model. The record is from RNAcentral.
AGCGAACGCUGGCGGCAUGCCUAACACAUGCAAGUCGCACGGGGGGCUUCGGCCUCCCAGUGGCGGACGGGUGAGGAACGCGUAGGGACCUGUCGAGGGGUGGGGGAUAACCGCGGGAAACUGCGGCUAAUACCGCAUGACGCCGCGGCGUGAAAGCCGGGGCCAAAGGCGAAAGCCGCCCGCCAAGGGGCCUGCGUCCGAUUAGCUGGUUGGCGGGGUAGCGGCCCACCAAGGCGUCGAUCGGUAGCUGAUCUGAGAGGGUGAUCAGCCACACCGGGACUGAGACACGGCCCGGACUCCUACGGGAGGCAGCAGUGGGGAAUAUUGGACAAUGGGCGCAAGCCUGAUCCAGCAAUGCCGCGUGGGUGAAGAAGGUCUUCGGAUUGUAAAGCCCUUUCGGCGGGGACGAUGGUGACGGUACCCGCAGAAGAAGCCCCGGCUAACUUCGUG